Molecule: small RNA, 407 nt
Filed under: Drosophila pseudoobscura pseudoobscura
Lineage: Eukaryota; Metazoa; Arthropoda; Insecta; Diptera; Drosophilidae
Description: GA31164
Source: RNAcentral
GAACGAAAAAAUAGGAGUAAUCGCCUAUUUUAGGGGCAACCUUUUGAGACGGAAAGCAAAAAUAACAGUUUUCAAAAUUUUCCAGUGUAUUUAAUUUUAUUAUAUUUAAUAACCCCCAAAAAAAUGGCUCGGUAGAAAGAGAGUUAAUUCCAAUCUCACCAUGAAAUGUCUAUUUUGAGAAAUUAUUAAUAGGAUACAGCCAGGCUCUGUUUUUCACUUACUUUUGCGAACAGCUGACCUGGCACAGAACUAGGCCCAUUUGGCUGCGGUUUUACCGCGUAUCGGUGAAGCAAAAUAUUAUGGAGCACACUCGACAUUUGACCUUGCACCAUCGAACCGUUAAAAGCAUUAAACGAAUGACAAUUGCUUAUGUGUGUCCUUUACUUGUCUCUUGUUCUGUUUUUCCC